RNAcentral lists this unclassified non-coding RNA (60 nucleotides) under synthetic construct. The record is from RNAcentral.
GCAAAGACAGGGAGGGUACUUUUGGCGUAUUUGAGCUUAGAAGACUAGAACUUGCGUGCG